CCGAGUUAUACAACUCAUCAACCCUGUGAACAUACCUAAAACGUUGCUUCGGCGGGAACAGACGGCCCUGUAACAACGGGCCGCCCCCGCCAGAGGACCCCUAACUCUGUUUUUAUAAUGUUUUUCUGAGUAAACAAGCAAAUAAAUUAAAACUUUCAACAACGGAUCUCUUGGCUCUGGCAUCGAUGAAGAACGCAGCGAAAUGCGAUAAGUAAUGUGAAUUGCAGAAUUCAGUGAAUCAUCGAAUCUUUGAACGCACAUUGCGCCCGCCAGUAUUCUGGCGGGCAUGCCUGUUCGAGCGUCAUUACAACCCUCAGGCCCCCGGGCCUGGCGUUGGGGAUCGGCGGAAGCCCCCUGUGGGCACACGCCGUCCCUCAAAUACAGUGGCGGUCCCGCCGCAGCUUCCAUUGCGUAGUAGCUAACACCUCGCAACUGGAGAGCGGCGCGGCCAUGCCGUAAAACACCCAACUUCUGAAUGUUGACCUCGAAUCAGGUAGGAAUACCCGCUGAACUUAAGCAUAUCAUU
This 526-nucleotide ribosomal RNA is filed under the name fungal sp. 9OMt11-1A. Its description in RNAcentral is "eukaryotic LSU rRNA". The stretch from base 151 to 304 matches the Rfam family "5.8S ribosomal RNA". The record is from RNAcentral. Lineage: Eukaryota; Fungi.